Molecule: transfer RNA, 75 nt
Filed under: freshwater metagenome
Description: tRNA-Lys
Rfam family: tRNA
About the family: Transfer RNA (tRNA) molecules are approximately 80 nucleotides in length.
Source: RNAcentral
GGGCCGUUAGCUCAAUCGGCAGAGCAGCGGACUUUUAAUCCGCGGGUUGUGGGUUCGAGUCCCACACGGCCCACC